GGUUCUUUCUGUGCUUUCUUUUUGUUUUUGUUUUUAUAUUAAAAGAUUAGCAAGUCCCCUGUGCAAGGAUGACAAGCAAUUUUGUGAAGCAUUCCACAUUUCU
Molecule: non-coding RNA, 103 nt
Organism: Octopus bimaculoides (California two-spot octopus)
Lineage: Eukaryota; Metazoa; Mollusca; Cephalopoda; Octopoda; Octopodidae
Source: Rfam